UAUAAUGAAAUUGAUUAAACUCUAUAUUAGAGGUCUAAGCUUUGUUUUUUUGUCAAUUUAUUAUUGUCUGCAUCCUGGUUCAUCUUCACCUGACCUUUUGAAUUAAUUGAUUAUGUUAAGAUUAAAAUUGGUUCACACUUCUUUGAGCUAUGUCAUUCCACCUAAUAUUCAUAAAUGAUCCUCAGGUGAGCAGCAAAAUACUAAUAUAUUAUGAAUGGUUGUUUGGCCUAUGGAAAUAAAUUAUAAGUUAAGCUUUUGAUGGACCAUGAGCAACAUAACUAGGUUAGACUAUUUAUGAUUUAACUAUUUGUUUUGUGUUUGUGGUUAUAAUUAUUUGUAACAAUUAUUGAGAUUUGAACCCCAUGAGGCUUGCUUAAACCAACUUGGUUUUCUUAAUGCUUGCGAAGUCUAAGGGAAAACUUUCAAGAUUGGUUAGAGAUUCUCUUUUGAUCUUGCCAUUGUAUUUGACACAGAUGACUAAUAUUCGUGUCUUAUAGUUUAUUAGUUUGACUUUUCAAUCACAAGUCUCUGAAUAUUAGUUGGCCUGUUGUCUUAUCAGGAACUUUCUUUCUAAUUUAUUGUUAUCAUGUAAUAGUUUUUAUCCAUUUACAACCUUUUGCAAUUGAAAAAGAUCACAGAGAGAGAGGUAGACAAAGAUGCUUAUGAAAUUUGCUAGAACUGUUGAAAGACAACAACUUGGCCAACCUAAAACACAUUGUCAAUUCUCUCUCUCUCACACUCUCUCUUCGAUAUCAGCUCCAAAUAUAUCUUUAGGCUAUUGAUCUUACCACCAACAUCACAUGGUUCGAGCUCUUUCUUCCUCUUUCCUUUGAUUUUUACUGCAAAUACAGUGUUUUAUCUUUCCACUUGCUGAGGUCAAUCUUUCCACCAUCAGACUGAGUUUUGUAAUAUGAGAAGCAGAAGAAAUAGAUGGUCGAAAGAAACCCUCAAGAUCCAACUCUUUAUUUGUGAUUUAAUGUGUGGAAUUGGGCACCAACCAAAACAAAGGAGCAACCAGAAAAAGUGCCAUUGAAAGUCAUAAUCAUAAUAAAGAUGUAAUUAACCAAUGGAGGUCAGAGUCAAGAUAUUGCUUUUCCUAGUAAAGGUUAUGAAAUAAAAGAUAAUAAAACAGAACCAAGCUCUUACUAGUUUCCACUCUUUCACAUAAAAAAAAAAAAAAAAAACAAACAAACACAGAGAAACAGCUCUUUCUAUUAAAAAAAUAGAAGACAAAAUCUGCUAAACUACAAAUGAUAUAUCUGAGUUUUUUUUUAAAGUUUUAACUCUGUGUUUAAUUAAUAGAACUUUCAAUAUGUUGAGAAUUUAUUAUUUUAUUCUAAAGAUUUAUUGGACAUAAAAGAGAUUUUAACUGUUAAAAAUGUAUUAAGCCUUUUGGUUCAUCAGUUCACCGAUAAUUAAAGAAAUUUGUUAUCUACUUAAUUGUGUCUACUCACAUUAUUCAUAAAAAAAAA
This is a long non-coding RNA of Cucumis sativus (cucumber), 1472 nucleotides long. RefSeq lists it as uncharacterized. The record is from RefSeq and is a predicted model, not a curated record. Lineage: Eukaryota; Viridiplantae; Streptophyta; Magnoliopsida; Cucurbitales; Cucurbitaceae. The transcript is spliced from 2 exons.